RNAcentral lists this ribosomal RNA (510 nucleotides) under uncultured bacterium. RNAcentral's name for it is "partial 16S ribosomal RNA". It matches the Rfam family "Bacterial small subunit ribosomal RNA", at positions 28 to 507 of the family's 1533-position model. The record is from RNAcentral.
GACGAACGCUGGCGGCGUGCUUAACACAUGCAAGUCGAACGAAGAGCGAUGGAACCUUGCUUCUAUCAAUCUUCGUGGCGCACGGGUGUGUAACGCGUAAUCAACCUGCCCUUCAGAGGGGGACAACAGUUGGAACCGACUGCUUAUACCGCAUACUAUCCGACCUCGGCAUCCAGGAGGGAUGAAAGGUGUCCUCUAUUUAUAAGCUAUCACUCAAGGCGGGGAUUGCGUCUGAUUAGCUAGUUGGGUGGGUAAGGGCCGAACAAGGCAAUGCUCAGUAGGUCGACCGGGAGGAGGGACCGCCACAAUGGGACUUGGGCAAGGCCCCGACUCCUUCGGGAAGGAGCAGGGAGGAAACUUCCGCAAUGGACGAAAGGCUGACGGAGCAAAGCCGGCUGAGGUAAGACGGCUCUCGGGUUGGAAAGCUCCGUUAAUCGGGGCGAAAGGUCUUCUUGCGAAUAGUUAGAAGAAUUGACGGUACCGGAAUAGAAAGCCACGGCUAACUACGUG